AACGAACGCUGGCGGCAGGCUUAACACAUGCAAGUCGAACGAUGUAGCAAUACAUAGUGGCGCACGGGUGAGUAACGCGUGGGAAUGUACCAUUUGGUGGGGAAUAACUAAGGGAAACUUUAGCUAAUACCGCAUACGCCCGAGAGGGGAAAGAUUUAUCGCCAAAUGAUCAGCCCGCGUGAGAUUAGGUAGUUGGUGGGGUAAUGGCCUACCAAGCCUACGAUCUCUAGCUGGUCUGAGAGGAUGAUCAGCCACACUGGAACUGAGACACGGUCCAGACUCCUACGGGAGGCAGCAGUGGGGAAUAUUGGGCAAUGGAGGAAACUCUGACCCAGCCAUGCCGCGUGAAUGAUGAAGGCCUUAGGGUUGUAAAGUUCUUUCGCCGAUGAAGAUAAUGACGGUAGUCGGAGAAGAAGCCCCGGCUAACUUCGUGCCAGCAGCCGCGGUAAU
RNAcentral lists this ribosomal RNA (450 nucleotides) under uncultured bacterium. RNAcentral's name for it is "bacterial SSU rRNA". It matches the Rfam family "Bacterial small subunit ribosomal RNA", at positions 29 to 524 of the family's 1533-position model. The record is from RNAcentral.